RNAcentral lists this ribosomal RNA (2904 nucleotides) under Escherichia coli 55989. RNAcentral describes it as "Bacterial large subunit ribosomal RNA". It matches the Rfam family "Bacterial large subunit ribosomal RNA". The record is from Rfam by way of RNAcentral. Lineage: Bacteria; Pseudomonadati; Pseudomonadota; Gammaproteobacteria; Enterobacterales; Enterobacteriaceae.
GGUUAAGCGACUAAGCGUACACGGUGGAUGCCCUGGCAGUCAGAGGCGAUGAAGGACGUGCUAAUCUGCGAUAAGCGUCGGUAAGGUGAUAUGAACCGUUAUAACCGGCGAUUUCCGAAUGGGGAAACCCAGUGUGAUUCGUCACACUAUCAUUAACUGAAUCCAUAGGUUAAUGAGGCGAACCGGGGGAACUGAAACAUCUAAGUACCCCGAGGAAAAGAAAUCAACCGAGAUUCCCCCAGUAGCGGCGAGCGAACGGGGAGCAGCCCAGAGCCUGAAUCAGUGUGUGUGUUAGUGGAAGCGUCUGGAAAGGCGCGCGAUACAGGGUGACAGCCCCGUACACAAAAAUGCACAUGCUGUGAGCUCGAUGAGUAGGGCGGGACACGUGGUAUCCUGUCUGAAUAUGGGGGGACCAUCCUCCAAGGCUAAAUACUCCUGACUGACCGAUAGUGAACCAGUACCGUGAGGGAAAGGCGAAAAGAACCCCGGCGAGGGGAGUGAAAAAGAACCUGAAACCGUGUACGUACAAGCAGUGGGAGCACGCUUAGGCGUGUGACUGCGUACCUUUUGUAUAAUGGGUCAGCGACUUAUAUUCUGUAGCAAGGUUAACCGAAUAGGGGAGCCGAAGGGAAACCGAGUCUUAACUGGGCGUUAAGUUGCAGGGUAUAGACCCGAAACCCGGUGAUCUAGCCAUGGGCAGGUUGAAGGUUGGGUAACACUAACUGGAGGACCGAACCGACUAAUGUUGAAAAAUUAGCGGAUGACUUGUGGCUGGGGGUGAAAGGCCAAUCAAACCGGGAGAUAGCUGGUUCUCCCCGAAAGCUAUUUAGGUAGCGCCUCGUGAAUUCAUCUCCGGGGGUAGAGCACUGUUUCGGCAAGGGGGUCAUCCCGACUUACCAACCCGAUGCAAACUGCGAAUACCGGAGAAUGUUAUCACGGGAGACACACGGCGGGUGCUAACGUCCGUCGUGAAGAGGGAAACAACCCAGACCGCCAGCUAAGGUCCCAAAGUCAUGGUUAAGUGGGAAACGAUGUGGGAAGGCCCAGACAGCCAGGAUGUUGGCUUAGAAGCAGCCAUCAUUUAAAGAAAGCGUAAUAGCUCACUGGUCGAGUCGGCCUGCGCGGAAGAUGUAACGGGGCUAAACCAUGCACCGAAGCUGCGGCAGCGACGCUGAUGCGUUGUUGGGUAGGGGAGCGUUCUGUAAGCCUGUGAAGGUGUGCUGUGAGGCAUGCUGGAGGUAUCAGAAGUGCGAAUGCUGACAUAAGUAACGAUAAAGCGGGUGAAAAGCCCGCUCGCCGGAAGACCAAGGGUUCCUGUCCAACGUUAAUCGGGGCAGGGUGAGUCGACCCCUAAGGCGAGGCCGAAAGGCGUAGUCGAUGGGAAACAGGUUAAUAUUCCUGUACUUGGUGUUACUGCGAAGGGGGGACGGAGAAGGCUAUGUUGGCCGGGCGACGGUUGUCCCGGUUUAAGCGUGUAGGCUGGUUUUCCAGGCAAAUCCGGAAAAUCAAGGCUGAGGCGUGAUGACGAGGCACUACGGUGCUGAAGCAACAAAUGCCCUGCUUCCAGGAAAAGCCUCUAAGCAUCAGGUAACAUCAAAUCGUACCCCAAACCGACACAGGUGGUCAGGUAGAGAAUACCAAGGCGCUUGAGAGAACUCGGGUGAAGGAACUAGGCAAAAUGGUGCCGUAACUUCGGGAGAAGGCACGCUGAUAUGUAGGUGAAGCGACUUGCUCGUGGAGCUGAAAUCAGUCGAAGAUACCAGCUGGCUGCAACUGUUUAUUAAAAACACAGCACUGUGCAAACACGAAAGUGGACGUAUACGGUGUGACGCCUGCCCGGUGCCGGAAGGUUAAUUGAUGGGGUUAGCGCAAGCGAAGCUCUUGAUCGAAGCCCCGGUAAACGGCGGCCGUAACUAUAACGGUCCUAAGGUAGCGAAAUUCCUUGUCGGGUAAGUUCCGACCUGCACGAAUGGCGUAAUGAUGGCCAGGCUGUCUCCACCCGAGACUCAGUGAAAUUGAACUCGCUGUGAAGAUGCAGUGUACCCGCGGCAAGACGGAAAGACCCCGUGAACCUUUACUAUAGCUUGACACUGAACAUUGAGCCUUGAUGUGUAGGAUAGGUGGGAGGCUUUGAAGUGUGGACGCCAGUCUGCAUGGAGCCGACCUUGAAAUACCACCCUUUAAUGUUUGAUGUUCUAACGUGGACCCGUAAUCCGGGUUGCGGACAGUGUCUGGUGGGUAGUUUGACUGGGGCGGUCUCCUCCUAAAGAGUAACGGAGGAGCACGAAGGUUGGCUAAUCCUGGUCGGACAUCAGGAGGUUAGUGCAAUGGCAUAAGCCAGCUUGACUGCGAGCGUGACGGCGCGAGCAGGUGCGAAAGCAGGUCAUAGUGAUCCGGUGGUUCUGAAUGGAAGGGCCAUCGCUCAACGGAUAAAAGGUACUCCGGGGAUAACAGGCUGAUACCGCCCAAGAGUUCAUAUCGACGGCGGUGUUUGGCACCUCGAUGUCGGCUCAUCACAUCCUGGGGCUGAAGUAGGUCCCAAGGGUAUGGCUGUUCGCCAUUUAAAGUGGUACGCGAGCUGGGUUUAGAACGUCGUGAGACAGUUCGGUCCCUAUCUGCCGUGGGCGCUGGAGAACUGAGGGGGGCUGCUCCUAGUACGAGAGGACCGGAGUGGACGCAUCACUGGUGUUCGGGUUGUCAUGCCAAUGGCACUGCCCGGUAGCUAAAUGCGGAAGAGAUAAGUGCUGAAAGCAUCUAAGCACGAAACUUGCCCCGAGAUGAGUUCUCCCUGACUCCUUGAGAGUCCUGAAGGAACGUUGAAGACGACGACGUUGAUAGGCCGGGUGUGUAAGCGCAGCGAUGCGUUGAGCUAACCGGUACUAAUGAACCGUGAGGCUUAACCUU